Molecule: unclassified non-coding RNA, 341 nt
Filed under: soil metagenome
Description: partial contains 5.8S ribosomal RNA, internal transcribed spacer 2, and large subunit ribosomal RNA
Rfam family: 5.8S ribosomal RNA (bases 1-120)
Source: RNAcentral
GAUGAAGAACGUAGUGAAAUGCGAUAAGUAGUGUGAAUUGCAGAAUUCAGUGAAUCAUCGAAUCUUUGAACGCACAUUGCGCCCUUUGGUAUUCCAAAGGGCAUGCCUGUUCGAGCGUCAUUUGUACCCUCAAGCUUUGCUUGGUGUUGGGCGUCUUGUCUCUAGCUUUGCUGGAGACUCGCCUUAAAGUAAUUGGCAGCUGGCCUACUGGUUUCGGAGCGCAGCACAAGUCGCACUCUCUAUCAGCAAAGGUCUAGCAUCCAUUAAGCCUUUUUUUCAACUUUUGACCUCGGAUCAGGUAGGGAUACCCGCUGAACUUAAGCAUAUCAAUAAGCGGAGGA